GCUUGUCUCAAAGAUUAAGCCAUGCAUGUCUAAGUAUAACUCUUUUACUUUGAAAACUGCGAACGGCUCAUUAUAUCAGUUAUAGUUUCUUUGAUAGUCCCUUACUACUUGGAUACCCGUAGUAAUUCUAGAGCUAAUACGUGCGUAAAUCCCGACUCCUGGAAGGGACGUAUUUAUUAGAUUUAAGGCCAACCGAGCUUGCUCGUCUCUUGGUGAAUCAUGAUAACUUCACGAAUCGCAUGGCCUCGCGCCGGCGAUAUUUCAUUCAAAUUUCUGCCCUAUCAAUUGGCGAUGGUAGGAUAGAGGCCUACCAUGGUGUUAACGGGUGACGGGGGAUUAGGGUUCGAUUCCGGAGAGGCAGCCUGAGAAACGGCUACCACAUCCAAGGAAGGCAGCAGG
Molecule: ribosomal RNA, 399 nt
Filed under: Tetraselmis cordiformis
Lineage: Eukaryota; Viridiplantae; Chlorophyta; Chlorodendrophyceae; Chlorodendrales; Chlorodendraceae
Description: partial small subunit ribosomal RNA
Rfam family: Eukaryotic small subunit ribosomal RNA
Source: RNAcentral